GAGGCUAUAGCUCAGUGAUUCAGCAUUCGACUGCAGAUCGAGAGGUUCUUGGUUCAAACCCAGGUGUCCUCU
Molecule: non-coding RNA, 72 nt
Organism: Trichonephila inaurata madagascariensis
Lineage: Eukaryota; Metazoa; Arthropoda; Arachnida; Araneae; Nephilidae
Source: the annotation of a GenBank genome assembly